This 407-nucleotide ribosomal RNA is filed under the name uncultured bacterium. Its description in RNAcentral is "partial 16S ribosomal RNA". It matches the Rfam family "Bacterial small subunit ribosomal RNA", at positions 30 to 526 of the family's 1533-position model. The record is from RNAcentral.
AUUGAACGCUGGCGACAGGCUUAACACAUGCAAGUCGAGCGGAGCGGCGAACGAGUGAGUAAUGCUUAGGAAUCUGCCUAUUAGUGGGGUACAACAUCUCGAAAGGGAUGCUAAUACAGCAUACUAAAAGAUGAGCCUAAGUCGGAUUAGCUAGUUGGGGGGGUAAAGGCCUACCAUGGCGACGAUCCGUAACUGGUCUGAGAGGAUGAUCAGUCCCCGUGGACAUGAGACACGGUCCAGACUCCUACGGCAGUCAGCAGUGGUGAAUAUUGGCCAAUGUUCGAUAGCCUGAUCCAGCCAUGCCGCGGUUGUGAAGACUGCCUUCGGGUUGUACAGCCCUUUCAGCUGGGUGGCGUUACCCUCAGAAGAUGCACCGGCUAACUCCGUGCCAGCAGCCGCGGUAAUAC